GGCUAAGAAACGUUAAACGUAAUCAGUUUCGACCUGAGUCAAGAGGUCUAAGUCCUCCUUAGCCU
Molecule: transfer RNA, 65 nt
Filed under: Dicranocentrus wangi
Lineage: Eukaryota; Metazoa; Arthropoda; Collembola; Entomobryomorpha; Entomobryidae
Description: tRNA-Arg
Source: RNAcentral